GUACCAGAUUCUCAUGACGGAUAGAUGAAAGAAGGUUUAGCUCAUUUUCAAAUUCCCGAGUUCCUUGAGUUGAGGUGGAUGACCGGACCUUCACUGCCACCUCUUGACCAUCAGGUAGUGUGCCACGGUAUACUGAUCCAAAGCCACCUUCACCUAUCAAGGUUUUAUACUUGUGGGUGGUAUUCUCUAUGUAUUCUAGGGUAAAUAUUUGAAUAGUUAUCGACUUCAAAGCUACAUCAUCCAAGCUUGG
Molecule: unclassified non-coding RNA, 250 nt
Filed under: Hevea brasiliensis (rubber tree)
Lineage: Eukaryota; Viridiplantae; Streptophyta; Magnoliopsida; Malpighiales; Euphorbiaceae
Source: RNAcentral